GACGAACGCUGGCGGCGUGCUUAACACAUGCAAGUCGAACGGAAAGGCCCUGCUUUUGUGGGGUGCUCGAGUGGCGAACGGGUGAGUAACACGUGAGUAACCUGCCCUUGACUUUGGGAUAACUUCAGGAAACUGGGGCUAAUACCGGAUAGGAGCUCCUGCUGCAUGGUGGGGGUUGGAAAGUUUCGGCGGUUGGGGAUGGACUCGCGGCUUAUCAGCUUGUUGGUGGGGUAGUGGCUUACCAAGGCUUUGACGGGUAGCCGGCCUGAGAGGGUGACCGGCCACAUUGGGACUGAGAUACGGCCCAGACUCCUACGGGAGGCAGGAGUGGGGAAUAUUGCACGAUGGGCGGAAGCCUGAUGCAGCAACGCCGCGUGCGGGAUGACGGCCUUCGGGUUGUAAACCGCUUUCGCCUGUGACGAAGCGUGAGUGACGGUAAUGGGUAAAGAAGCACCGGCUAACUACGUG
This 468-nucleotide ribosomal RNA is filed under the name uncultured bacterium. Its description in RNAcentral is "partial 16S ribosomal RNA". It matches the Rfam family "Bacterial small subunit ribosomal RNA", at positions 28 to 507 of the family's 1533-position model. The record is from RNAcentral.